GCAUUUAUACCCAACACUAACGAUAGUACCUACCCCUAAAGAUUUUGGGAAUGAGGUAGCGGGAGACCCCACUUUGAAAAAGGAUCAAGGGGGAUUGGGGGGGGAACAGUUUGUGUGGCAAGGUAGCAGGUUUUACUGGGUUACUCACUCCUGGGUGAACACUCCAGGGCGUACGCAAAAACUCCAGCUAGUAGUCCCAUAGAAGUACCGACCGGAGUUGUUGAGGGUCGGCACAACGUGCCUCUAGCUGGAAAUUUGGGAAUUCGACGGACAUCAUACCUGGUAACCCAAAACUUUUCUGGCCUGGGGUAUCCAAUGAUGUCCGACAAUAUUGCCGAACCUGCGAUGUGUGCCAAAGAGUAUCAACCCCAGACUAACUGUCUUUGUGAGCGGUUUAAUGGGACUCUUAAGCAACUGCUGAAGACAUUCAUGGCUGCUUGCAGAGACUGGGAGCAUUUCCUGCCCCACCUCCACUUUGCUUACAGGGAAGUGCUGCAGGAAUCUACUGCAUUUUUACCCUUUGAGCUGCCAUACAGGAGGCGAGUGAGGGGACCCCUAGACCUUAAACAAGAGCACUGGGAGGGAGCAACAGACUCCAUAGGGACCCCGAUUGUACACUAUGUGCUGGAGUUGAGGGACCAAAUGGAGACCUUGGCUCAGACAGUGCGAGAAAACCUCCAGGCGGCCCAGCAGUGCCAGCGGGUAUGGUAUGACUGGAAGGCCACGCAGUGUAGUACUCAAACCAGUCAGGCUAGAUAAGCUACAGGCACCCUGGCAGUGGCCGUAUAAAGUUAUUGGGCAGGUGUGUUACCACGUACACUGUAGCCAGCUGCAAGAAUGAGGAUGUGAAACGGACAUUUCAUAUCAACAUGUUCAAAGAGUAUAAAGGUCGAGAGGAAGAGGUGGCUGCCACGGCAUCUGAGAAUCCCG
Non-coding RNA from Pelobates cultripes (western spadefoot toad), 930 nucleotides. The record is from the annotation of a GenBank genome assembly. NCBI's taxonomy places the organism in Eukaryota, Metazoa, Chordata, Amphibia, Anura, Pelobatidae.